GGCCCAGGGAACCAAGCAGCGCUGCCGCUAGCGCCGCUGCAUCGGGAGUUGGAGGAGGGUGAAGCCAGGAAGAAAAUGGCGGCCGUAGCUGCAGAGGCGGCAGCGACUGCAGCGUCCCCCGGGGAGGGGGGCGCCGGCGAGGCCGAGCCGGAGAUGGAGCCCAUCCCCGGCAGCGAGGCCGGCACUGACCCGCUCCCGGUCACCGCCACCGAAGCAUCUGUGCCGGACGGCGAGGCCGACGGGCAGCAGUCCUCUCCUCAGGCCGACGAGCCGCCGCUCCCGCCUCCACCGCCGCCGCCGGGGGAGCUCGCUUGCAGCCCAGAGGCGGCGGGGCUGGAGCUAGAGGCUGAGGAGAAGCUGCCCACCCGGGUGGUGGAGCCGGCGGCAGUCGCGCCUCAGGAAGGGCCCGAUCUUCCACCUUGCCCUGCACCGCCGCCGGAGCAGCCCCCGACUCCCGAGGAGCGCCAGGAGCCGCAGCUGCCCCAGCCCGCAGCCCCGGCGCUCGUGCCGCCGGCGGGCGGGGACUCUGCGGUGUCGCAACUCAUCCCCGGCUCGGAGGUGCGGGUCACGCUGGACCACAUCAUUGAGGACGCGCUCGUCGUGUCGUUUCGCCUUGGGGAGAAGCUCUUCUCCGGGGUCCUCAUGGAUCUGUCCAAAAGGUUUGGGCCCCAUGGGAUCCCUGUGACAGUAUUUCCCAAAAGGGAAUAUAAGGAUAAACCUGAAGCCAUGCAGCUCCAAAGUACUACAUUCCAAGAAGGGACAGAAGUCAAGUGUGAAGUGAAUGGUGCUGUUCCCAAUGACCCUUCUCCAGUCCCGCCUCCCGAGCUGAGCUUGGCUGAAAGCCUGUGGACUUCCAAACCACCACCUCUCUUCCAUGAAGGAGCACCUUAUCCUCCCCCUUUGUUUAUCAGGGACACAUAUAACCAAUCAAUACCUCAGCCACCUCCUCGGAAAAUUAAGCGACCCAAACGAAAAAUGUACAGGGAAGAACCUACUUCAAUAAUGAAUGCUAUUAAACUACGACCCAGGCAAGUCCUGUGUGACAAAUGUAAAAACAGUGUUGUUGCUGAAAAAAAGGAAAUUAGGAAAGGUAGCAGUGCAAGUGACUCUUCUAAAUAUGAAGAUAAAAAACGGAGAAAUGAAAGUGUAACUACUGUGAACAAAAAACUGAAAACUGACCAUAAAGUAGAUGGGAAAAACCAAAAUGAAAGCCAGAAAAGAAAUGCUGUGGUUAAGGUUUCAAAUAUUGCUCACAGCAGAGGCAGAGUAGUCAAAGUUUCUGCUCAGGCAAAUACAUCAAAAGCUCAGUUAAGUACUAAAAAAGUGCUCCAGAGUAAGAACAUGGAUCAUGCAAAAGCUCGGGAAGUGUUGAAAAUUGCCAAAGAAAAGGCACAAAAGAAGCAAAGUGAAACCUCUACGUCCAAAAAUGCACAUUCAAAAGUCCAUUUUACACGUCGAUAUCAGAAUUCUAGCUCAGGUUCCCUUCCACCCCGGGUUCGUUUAAAACCACAAAGGUACAGGAAUGAAGAAAAUGACUCUUCUCUGAAGACAGGACUUGAGAAAAUUCGGAGUGGCAAGAUGGCACCCAAGCCCCAGUCUCGUUGCACCUCUACCCGCGCAGCAGGUCUCAACAAAUGGCAGCUAUUACAUCAGACAGUGACGAAUCCUGCUGCUCCCUUACAGUGUCUGACAGACCACUGUGGAUUCAGACUGGGAGCAUUGAAGUUAACAGUGAAACGGGCAGGUCUCACAAAGACAUUAGCAGGCUGCUGGUUCCAUGGACCUGUAACCACAGUGACAGAACAGCAGAGCAUCAGGACUGAAUGAAAUUGGAGACUCAGAUUUUUAAAGCUGCGCUAAGAAGUGAAUGUUAAGGGCAAUGGUUAAAACCAAGUUUAUACAGGGGCACUUGCAAACUGCUAUAGUAAAUCGAAGAAAAGGAGGUAAUGAACCUGGGAUGAAAGAGAAUACAACUGAAGAAUACUGUGUCAGAGGAAGAAGAACUGGCCACACAGUGGCUAGGUCACUGUCCUUAAGAAUUACGGACACUUCAGUUAGCCCCUUUUAUCAUUCCCUCAUGAGGCCCACUGAGUAAAGGAACAUGAGCUGCUGAUAUUAGAGGAAGAUGCUUCUCUGCAAAUAACUGCACUAGUCUAAGAGACAUGGAUUCUUAGUUGUCAGUGACCUUCCUGACAGAAAACUCGGGCAGUGGCUGCACUGGCCAAAAUGGAGGUGGAAAAGGAGUGUCUCACCUAGUCAGCUCUUAAAGUCCUGCUCAGCCAAGGCCCAAAACAUGGGAGACGUCAGAGAAUCUUCCUUGAGUGAAACAUUCUGUACUCUUCUGCUUCUGAAUUCUGCUAAGCUCAGGUCUACCUCCUGCGGAUCCUGAGUAGAAAGCUCAAGCCUGUGGUUACAGAAGGUAAACUGUAUCAGCAAUGUGAAGCGGUACAGAGCGGGAGCCUGUUGUGUCCCGGCCCCAGAAAAGCACAGCCGAGGCGUCAGAAAGACAAAGCAACAGUACAGAAGACAGUGAUGGGGGUGAUCCUUCACACGCUUAAAUGCAGCUGUCUGAACUUCUGCAGAAAAAAAUGAGGCAGACUGGAAAAGCUUUUGCAACACAAGAGGAAGCUACAACCCCUGGCCUCUGAUGCUAACUCCACCGAUGGCAGAAUCCAACCAAAGUGUCGCACAGCCCUAGGAAAUUAUCAGACCUUUCCUCCCAGUUAACUAACUUCAUGAGACAAAGUUGCCAACAGCAUAUGCUAUUCUGGGGCUGUCAAACCAUCCCAACAAAACAGUCUUGUGUACUUGAGACCGAGGACACCGAGAGCCUACCACAGCCUACAUCCUUUCAGAUGCACACAGUUCUCCCCGCCCCACUCCAUUCCAUCCCCCUGCUCCCAGGCUGGCCUCCCUGAGGACAUCUGUCUUCAGUUUGCUCAGGCAGCAUGUGGCCGCUGCCUGGGGAGCCCAGGUGGGGCGUCUGAUGUAGAAUCAGGAUGGCAUAGAACCCCACAGAGGGACAAUGGUUACAGUAUCUCCAGAUCUAGUGCCUCACAUCUGGAGAGCCUUUGGGUUGGUUCCUUCACAGCUGUCAUGAUGCCUGAUGGCUUAGGAGCCCCAGUGCCUGGUAGUUCCCAUCUAGGACAUAUUUUUCAGAAAGCCAGAAACUAACAGCUGGGGCUGAGUCAUGGCCACGAGUUGCUAGCUGUGGGCUUCCUUGGUAGUGGGGCAGCAAGCCCUGUGGAAGCUCACAUUCCCACCUCAGCUAAAAAAGUUUCCCCUUGAGUGAAAGGAAAAAGGCACGGAGUCCUAUUUCUAGUUACAGCUGACAGAACCUAACUCCUGUAUGAUGGAGUUAGCUGGAGUUACUUAUUCCUACCUGGCGACCUCAGAGGGCUGUUGGAAAGUUAGGAGAAAAUGAGUAUUUGUAGAAUAUUUCAAACAUUUGUAAAGGCAGACUAGGAUAACAAAACCUAAGUACCCAUCUCUAGCUUCAGUAAUUACCAACUCACAGCCAGGAAGACUGACACGUUUGAUGCUUUGAAAUUUGAGGGCAUCCUCCCUAGUUUUCGUAAACUAAUUUUAUCAUUACUUUCUUUGAUUGCCCUUAGGGUUUUAAGCAGUCACCCUCUGGGUAUUUUAGCCCUACCUCUUGUGGCUGGUAGCAAAGAAUGCAUUUGUCAUUCCCGGGAGCAUGAAAGGACUCGGUCUCGUGUGGGCUCAGUGGCUUUCCACACAAGAGUAGGAGGUGACUGGAAAUGAUCACCUCCUUUCUCCAUAGAGCUUUUGAUCGUGCAGUUCCCUGAAGGAACUGAUUCUCCAGCCACUUCUGGUAGAAUAUGCCCACAUUUCCUUUUUAAAAGGAACUCUAGGUGAUGGGAGGACGAAGCUGGUUGCUACUAUUCCAGUGCAGGGGGCAGGCUGAAAAGGACAGAAAUACCUCACUGAAAUGGCUGCCAGGAGAUUUUACUAGGGUGUGUGAGGGUGUCAUCGUACACAAUACACACCAAUAGGAAGAUUAGAGAAAGAGUUCAAUGUCUUACGAGACAAUGGAGGGAUGAGCUAGGGCGGGAUGAGCUAGGGCGGUGAAAGGUAGGAUCAAAAGGGGGAAGUGAUCAUAGAAAGCGACACGAACCACAGCCAAGCUGCAGGCUCACAGGCUUCACCAGCGAGCCUGAGCUCCAGCAGCUCUGGGCCUUCCUUAAUGCCAAGGGCAAGCUUAAGGGACAGCACAGAUAAAAGGAAAAGUCACGUAUUUCCAGUCCUGUGUAUCUCAAAUUUGCACUCUUGUCUUGGAGGGUUUUUGGACCCUUCCCUGUAAAGAGCUUUCUCAAGAUUAAAGCAGCCAUUACCUUACACAACUGUCCCCAUCCUUCUUGGUCUCCUAUCAUAGGCUUCCCUUUGACAUUCCAAGUUUUGCUAAACCAGUUGUAAAAGACAGGACUUGCAGGUCUGCUUAGCUCUUGGGAACAGACAAUCCUUGCAAAUACACCUUUCAGGUUUACAUCUAAUACCUGCUGCCAGCUCGCCAACUCAUGCGUCUAUUCAGACAGUAAAAUGCCUCCAGAAAGUCCUCAUCUGCUCUUCCUUAAUCAGUCUGGAUUCCAGCUUGAGAGCUGUGUGAAUUGUAAUACAGCAAUGUUCCAGAGGCCAGCUCAGACCUGGGACAGCAGAAAGCAGUUCCUUCAACUACACAAAAUACUGUUGGAAAUAGGACUUGUCACUUAUGGACUAAACAAACAUUUGAGCUUUGACUAUACCUGAGCAACUCUGAAGGUCCAGUGUGUGAGGUCUUGUCAUUUUACUGAAGCUCAAGUGUAGGCCCAGGGCUGCGGUGUUCGCAAUUAGCUAGUAGGCUCAGCACUCCCCAGCCUCCACAUCUUGGCAGGGUGUAAUAGUCUCUAUUCCUACAGGCACAAUAACUUGUCAAGUGAUAAGAUGGGGCAUUUUGUGGGAUGGGACGCAGAGCAAGAGGAGAGGAAAAAAACCCAGCUACAGUGCUUGUGAUGGAAGGGGAACAUGUGGAAAGUCAGAGUUCUUAGCAAAAGAGGUUGGAUUUUAAGAACAUUUAACCAUAGCUCGGAUCCAUGAUGUGAGCAAAAUGAACUAAUCCACAGUACACUGCAGAGAAGAACCACCAGCUGGGUAUGCAUUUGUAGAAAGAGUCCCAAUUUCUGGGUAAGCCUGCAGAGGCGCCAGUGAAUGGAAAAGCUGCUCAUGUGAAAGUUGGAAAAGUGGUUAAGACACUGGAAAUAAAUACAGAGAACACAAGACUCAAUGGAAAUGUGAUCAGGGAGAAGGUGAAACUAGAAGACAAGUUAGGGAUUUUUGAGAGUCUCAAGAAAAAUCCUUGCAAAUAUCCAAGAUGCAAAAAUGAAAAUUUGAAAACCAGAAGACACGCUUCUUACAGGCCAGGUUGAAUGUCAACAUCUGAGGACAUUCUACAUGGCGACACAAGAUGGGCUCGCUUGGUUUUAAGUGACUCUUUACAAAAUGUCUUUGUGUUUCACGGGUGCAAUUUACAGGAUUCAUGGUUCAGAAAUCCUAGCUGAGCCCUCUCAAGUGGCCAGAGCGGCACACCUAGUGGAAUAGAAACACUACUGCAGAACGUUAACUGCGGGUGUCGAGGCCGUGCGGGCAGUGCCCAGAAAAGUCCCCGAUCCGUCUGCCCGCCCUGACUAGGUGACGCCAAGCUGUGGUCUUUCCCUGCCUCUGUACCACAUUCUUGGGAAGGUGCAAGAACAGCACAUAAACCUUCCAAGCUAUUUGAUAUUUGAAUCACUUGUUACAUCUUAAAAUUUCGAGGAAGAUGACUAGUUUCUACUUAUCCUGAGAAAACAGAUAAUGGGUGGUAGCAAAGGAGACAUUUUAAAACACAGGACUAAAUAAAGAGCACCGAAUCUAAAGACUUGGGUAGUGAUGGUUGUUCACAUUGAGACCACCCUUGAGGAGUGUCCUUGAAUGCCAAUUUACUGUUUCUAGUAGAGCAGCAGGUGCUGGUGAUACUACAAACAUGAAUGUGGCCCUUACCUUCUCGAAGAUCAUGGUCAAGCUCAUGGUCUCUCAUGGAGGCAGAUGGGGAAUAGAUCAUAGCAUUAAAAAAAAAAAUAUAUAUAUGUCUGUGAGUCUUCAAAAAUAUUCUAGAAGGAGAGUCAAAAUUAUUUUGACCCAUUGCAGUAUCAUUGGACUAGGAAUAUAUACAAUGUCACAGUGUGAUUGCCUUAAUAGUAAAUUCUGGCAUACGUUGUUUUUGGGAGGAGGAAGGCAUCACAGAACUUUAAAUCAUACAUCUUAGCAACAGUAGGCAAAUACAGGCCACCUUCCUCCCUUACACUUACACACCUCCUACUUUUCAACCCUUUCAAGAUUUUUCUCUUGUCAAACAUUUUCAAAAGGUUUGAGUCUUUCUUUUCUUGAAGAUUUUGGAAGUAGAGAAAUAACAGCAGUAGAUAAAAACUCCUUGGCUUAAGCAACAAACUCACACCUACUUAGAUUCCCUUCCUUUCCUUUCCAGAUGCAUUACUUGGCCCACUCACUAAAAGCAUUUAA
Molecule: RNA transcript, 6552 nt
Organism: Rhinolophus ferrumequinum (greater horseshoe bat)
Lineage: Eukaryota; Metazoa; Chordata; Mammalia; Chiroptera; Rhinolophidae
Gene: PWWP2A
Gene name: PWWP domain containing 2A
Exons: 5
Source: RefSeq, a predicted model, not a curated record